GGGUUGUGAGGUUAAGCGACUAAGCGUACACGGUGGAUGCCCUGGCAGUCAGAGGCGAUGAAGGACGUGCUAAUCUGCGAAAAGCGUCGGUAAGGUGAUAUGAACCGUUAUAACCGGCGAUGUCCGAAUGGGGAAACCCAGUGCAAUUCGUUGCACUAUCGUUAACUGAAUACAUAGGUUAACGAGGCGAACCGGGGGAACUGAAACAUCUAAGUACCCCGAGGAAAAGAAAUCAACCGAGAUUCCCCCAGUAGCGGCGAGCGAACGGGGAGCAGCCCAGAGUCUGAAUCAGCUUGUGUGUUAGUGGAACGGUCUGGAAAGUCCGACGGUACAGGGUGAUAGUCCCGUACACCAAAAUGCACAGGCUGUGAACUCGAAGAGUAGGGCGGGACACGUGGUAUCCUGUCUGAAUAUGGGGGGACCAUCCUCCAAGGCUAAAUACUCCUGACUGACCGAUAGUGAACCAGUACCGUGAGGGAAAGGCGAAAAGAACCCCGGCGAGGGGAGUGAAAAAGAACCUGAAACCGUGUACGUACAAGCAGUGGGAGCACCUUCGGGUGUGACUGCGUACCUUUUGUAUAAUGGGUCAGCGACUUAUAUUCUGUAGCAAGGUUAACCGUAUAGGGGAGCCGCAGGGAAACCGAGUCUUAACUGGGCGUUAAGUUGCAGGGUAUAGACCCGAAACCCGGUGAUCUAGCCAUGGGCAGGUUGAAGGUUGGGUAACACUAACUGGAGGACCGAACCGACUAAUGUUGAAAAAUUAGCGGAUGACUUGUGGCUGGGGGUGAAAGGCCAAUCAAACCGGGAGAUAGCUGGUUCUCCCCGAAAGCUAUUUAGGUAGCGCCUCGUGAACUCAUCUUCGGGGGUAGAGCACUGUUUCGGCUAGGGGGUCAUCCCGACUUACCAACCCGAUGCAAACUACGAAUACCGAAGAAUGUUAUCACGGGAGACACACGGCGGGUGCUAACGUCCGUCGUGAAGAGGGAAACAACCCAGACCGCCAGCUAAGGUCCCAAAGUCAUGGUUAAGUGGGAAACGAUGUGGGAAGGCACAGACAGCCAGGAUGUUGGCUUAGAAGCAGCCAUCAUUUAAAGAAAGCGUAAUAGCUCACUGGUCGAGUCGGCCUGCGCGGAAGAUGUAACGGGGCUAAACCAUGCACCGAAGCUGCGGCAGCGACACUAUGUGUUGUUGGGUAGGGGAGCGUUCUGUAAGCCUGCGAAGGUGACCUGUGAGGGUUGCUGGAGGUAUCAGAAGUGCGAAUGCUGACAUAAGUAACGAUAAAGCGGGUGAAAAGCCCGCUCGCCGGAAGACCAAGGGUUCCUGUCCAACGUUAAUCGGGGCAGGGUGAGUCGACCCCUAAGGCGAGGCCGAAAGGCGUAGUCGAUGGGAAACAGGUUAAUAUUCCUGUACUUGGUGUUACUGCGAAGGGGGGACGGAGAAGGCUAUGUUAGCCGGGCGACGGUUGUCCCGGUUUAAGCAUGUAGGCUGGUUAUCCAGGCAAAUCCGGAUAAUCAAGGCUGAGGUGUGAUGACGAGGCACUACGGUGCUGAAGUAACAAAUGCCCUGCUUCCAGGAAAAGCCUCUAAGCAUCAGGUAACAUCAAAUCGUACCCCAAACCGACACAGGUGGUCAGGUAGAGAAUACCAAGGCGCUUGAGAGAACUCGGGUGAAGGAACUAGGCAAAAUGGUGCCGUAACUUCGGGAGAAGGCACGCUGGUGUGUAGGUGAAGUCCCUGCGGAUGGAGCUGAGACCAGUCGAAGAUACCAGCUGGCUGCAACUGUUUAUUAAAAACACAGCACUGUGCAAACACGAAAGUGGACGUAUACGGUGUGACGCCUGCCCGGUGCCGGAAGGUUAAUUGAUGGGGUUAUCCGUAAGGAGAAGCUCUUGAUCGAAGCCCCGGUAAACGGCGGCCGUAACUAUAACGGUCCUAAGGUAGCGAAAUUCCUUGUCGGGUAAGUUCCGACCUGCACGAAUGGCGUAAUGAUGGCCAGGCUGUCUCCACCCGAGACUCAGUGAAAUUGAACUCGCUGUGAAGAUGCAGUGUACCCGCGGCAAGACGGAAAGACCCCGUGAACCUUUACUAUAGCUUGACACUGAACAUUGAGCCUUGAUGUGUAGGAUAGGUGGGAGGCUUUGAAGCGUGGACGCCAGUCUGCGUGGAGCCAACCUUGAAAUACCACCCUUUAAUGUUUGAUGUUCUAACGUUGGCCCCUGACCGGGGUUGCGGACAGUGUCUGGUGGGUAGUUUGACUGGGGCGGUCUCCUCCCAAAGCGUAACGGAGGAGCACGAAGGUUAGCUAAUCCUGGUCGGACAUCAGGAGGUUAGUGCAAUGGCAUAAGCUAGCUUGACUGCGAGCGUGACGGCGCGAGCAGGUGCGAAAGCAGGUCAUAGUGAUCCGGUGGUUCUGAAUGGAAGGGCCAUCGCUCAACGGAUAAAAGGUACUCCGGGGAUAACAGGCUGAUACCGCCCAAGAGUUCAUAUCGACGGCGGUGUUUGGCACCUCGAUGUCGGCUCAUCACAUCCUGGGGCUGAAGUAGGUCCCAAGGGUAUGGCUGUUCGCCAUUUAAAGUGGUACGCGAGCUGGGUUUAGAACGUCGUGAGACAGUUCGGUCCCUAUCUGCCGUGGGCGCUGGAGAAUUGAGGGGGGCUGCUCCUAGUACGAGAGGACCGGAGUGGACGCAUCACUGGUGUUCGGGUUGUCAUGCCAAUGGCACUGCCCGGUAGCUAAAUGCGGAAGAGAUAAGUGCUGAAAGCAUCUAAGCACGAAACUUGCCCCGAGAUGAGUUCUCCCUGAGACUUUAAGUCUCCUGAAGGAACGUU
This 2825-nucleotide ribosomal RNA is filed under the name Klebsiella pneumoniae. RNAcentral describes it as "bacterial LSU rRNA". It matches the Rfam family "Bacterial large subunit ribosomal RNA". The record is from RNAcentral. Lineage: Bacteria; Pseudomonadati; Pseudomonadota; Gammaproteobacteria; Enterobacterales; Enterobacteriaceae.